Small nuclear RNA from Sarcophilus harrisii (Tasmanian devil), 103 nucleotides. The record is from Ensembl. NCBI's taxonomy places the organism in Eukaryota, Metazoa, Chordata, Mammalia, Dasyuromorphia, Dasyuridae.
UUGCUUUGACAGCACAUAUACCAAAAUUGGAAAGAUACAGACAAGAUUAGUAUGGCCCUGGCACAAAAAUGACAUGCAAAUUUAUGAAGCAUUCCAUAUUUUU